Scleropages formosus (Asian bonytongue) is the source of this 1858-nucleotide long non-coding RNA. NCBI's taxonomy places the organism in Eukaryota, Metazoa, Chordata, Actinopteri, Osteoglossiformes, Osteoglossidae. The record is from Ensembl.
CCCUGUGUUGCCGGGUUAGGCUCCGGUUCCCCGUGACCCCAUAUGGGACAAGCGGUUCAGACAGUGUGUGUGUGUGUGUGUGUGUGUGUGUGUGUGUGUGUGUGCGUGCGCGCGCUUCUUCUAUAUAUACACACACAGACUCAUUGAGCGGAUACCCCAGUUAUUUUGGAGACAAUAAAUAUUUUAUUUAUAUAAUGUUGUUAUAAUUUUACUGUAUGUCAAACCCCCACAGAGAUGUCUGCCAGCAUCACGUUACCUGCUGACAGCGUGGAUAACUUUUCACGACCAAAAAUGGACACGACUGCAGAAGUGGAGACGCAACUGAGACUUUUUGCUCGAUUCCACUGUAGACGUGACGCACGCGGAUGUCUCUGUGUUAUUGUACUGCACCACCAGCGUCCCAGAAAUACCCUGGUCCUGCCUCUGUGGUCCGGUCACGGUCUUCCAGGAAGCCACACACAGGCUGAUUCAAGAUGGGACUGAAAUAAGACGAGAGAAGAGGUCACCCGCUCACGGCCAGCCAUCGCGAGAAAACGUCUCUUCGAAAGCCCCAGUUCUUUGUACAGCAGCUCAAGGGAUGAGCCCCAGAUCCAGGCCAUGUGGGGGGUUCUGCUGAGAUGACUGGCCUCCAUCCGUUUUGGAAAAACAAGGUCAGGACCUGAGGCUGGACAUCUGGUUGUCGGUAAAGUCCAAGUAGUCAGUAUGACCAGCACUUUCAUUGAUUUUACCUAACCUUUCUAAGACCCCCACCUGCAGACCACCCCUACUGAUACUAAAGAACCCACUGACACUUCACCAGAAAGUGUCAAAAAUUUCAAAUGCCUUAAAACCCUUUUUGCUUAUUUACUACAAUAUUCAAAAGUGUCCGUACAGCAUGAUCACAGCAACUUAACAUUGACGUUUGCAAUGUAUUGUUUCUUAGCAAAAGAAGAGCAUUAUUAAACUUAAAUAGUGUGGACAAUCUAGCUAUAUAAAAUCAUGUAAGAGUAACCAAUUUACAGCAAUAUUCCCCAUUUAUAUACAAUUAUGUUAUAAUUAUAUAAUCAGAUCUUUUUUUUUCUCAGUUCUGAGCAGGUGUGUUGGUGUGUUGAUGGAGGAAACCGCUUCAGGAGGUGACAUUCAAAGGCAGAAGCUCUAACCACUGCACCACUUUCUGCUCACCGUCAUAUGGUUAGCCUCCUGAUCCUAAAAGCUAAACCAUGUCUGAACGGAACUUUUUUCUAAUUAAAAGCAGAAAGGACUGAGUUGUAAUGCUCAUGGAUAUAUCCACAUGUAAUGCAGUAAAUCAGCUCAGAUCAUGAAAAUAUUCAAUUAUGAGCACAGCUAAUGUGUACUAUAUGUUUUUAAAAAUCCAGGAGACAGUGAUUCUUGUUCGCUGACUUACAAAUGUAGAACUGAUCCUGUUGACGUAGACCAGACUGCUUUGCCAGAGGGACCUGGGCAGCAGCCGAAUGGGGUGAUUUACGGGAGCCCGCAAUGCAGCACCGAGCACUUCGUAACUAAUGGGCCCCCUUUUAAACAUAUGGAUACAUUUACUCGCUGUUCUUUCAUUGCAUAAGCCGCUUAAGCCCUUUUUAGUACUGUACUAAAAGAUACUUUUAAGAUGUUAACAUUGCCCAAAAUCAGUCAGAAUUACAAACUGACAAAUGCCAGUCCCACCAGUUCCUCAAAGCUCCGCCCUCUUCCCCAUCCUGCAAAGUAACGAGAAACAAAACAGAAGCUGGAAAAAGUGGGUAUUUUCCACAUGUCUUUUUUCAACUCACACUUUUCUUUCUUUCUUUUUCGUCUUCCUUUCUUAUCUCCCCCCAGAUCCCCAUCCCCGCGGUAAAAUAAAUAACAUUAGCCAGCACUCUAGCCA